This is a long non-coding RNA of Stomoxys calcitrans (stable fly), 637 nucleotides long. RefSeq lists it as uncharacterized. The record is from RefSeq and is a predicted model, not a curated record. NCBI's taxonomy places the organism in Eukaryota, Metazoa, Arthropoda, Insecta, Diptera, Muscidae. The transcript has 2 exons.
AUUUGAAAGAAAACUUCAGGCUGUUUAUAUCGUUGAUUAAAAGGCAAGAUAUUUUUUUGUGUCAAAUAAUUUUUGGUUCUUCUCGUAGAAAUUUAUUUUUUGAAUUGACAAUUUCGCUGCGGCUAGGACUGCAAAUAAUAAAUUGGAAGCUAUUAUAUAUUUCUGGGAGAGACCAGUUUUCCGUUUUCAGGAAUUGGGAGCGUUUAUCUCUAAUUCCUCCCAAGGAUAUUUUAUUUAAAGUUUUUUUCCGCGAGAGAGAUAAAAGGGAAUAGCAUCUCCCAAACACCACCAGUCUAACCUUUGGCGGUUCUAAGCGCACCAUUGCGAAUUAUUGUCGCCGUAAAUUUUAUUGUUGACCAACACGUAUACGCCACAAAACGAUAAUCAACCAUUCCAAGCUCUUGUCAAGAUUAAGGAAUAAAUAGUGCAAUAUAUAGAAAAUGUUCACAUACAUGUAUAAAUUCUUGACGUUUCUUAAGAGGACCCAAAACAUUACAACUUAAAAAUAAUAGUUUUAAUUUAAUUUUUUUUAAUUUUAAAUUUUUAAAAUCAUUAAAUUUAUAAACUUACACAAUUUAAUAUAUUUUUAAACUGAUAAUUAAAUCUAUGAUUUCGUAAGUUACGUUACAAAUAUGAA